CCUACGGGUGGCUGCAGUGGGGAAUAUUGCACAAUGGGGGGAACCCUGAUGCAGCGACGCCGCGUGAGUGAAGAAGUAUUUCGGUAUGUAAAGCUCUAUCAGCAGGGAAGAAAAUGACGGUACCUGAUUAAGAAGCCCCGGCUAACUACGUGCCAGCAGCCGCGGUAAUACGUAGGGGGCAAGCGUUAUCCGGAUUUACGGGGUGUAAAGGGAGCGUAGACGGCAGAGCAAGUCUGUAGUGAAAGGCCGCGGCUCAACCGCGGAACUGCUUUGGAAACUGCCCAGCUAGAGUGCGGGAGAGGUAAGCGGAAUUCCUAGUGUAGCGGUGAAAUGCGUAGAUAUUAGGAGGAACACCAGUGGCGAAGGCGGCUUACUGGACUGUAACUGACGUUGAGGCUCGAAAGCGUGGGGAGCAAACAGGAUUAGAUACCCUUGUAGUC
This 440-nucleotide ribosomal RNA is filed under the name uncultured bacterium. Its description in RNAcentral is "partial 16S ribosomal RNA". It matches the Rfam family "Bacterial small subunit ribosomal RNA", at positions 338 to 795 of the family's 1533-position model. The record is from RNAcentral.